RNAcentral lists this ribosomal RNA (253 nucleotides) under uncultured bacterium. RNAcentral describes it as "partial 16S ribosomal RNA". It matches the Rfam family "Bacterial small subunit ribosomal RNA", at positions 524 to 776 of the family's 1533-position model. The record is from RNAcentral.
UACGGAGGGAGCUAGCGUUGUUCGGAACUACUGGGCGUAAAGCGCGCGUAGGCGGCUAUUCAAGUCAGAGGUGAAAUCCUUGGGCUCAACCCAAGAAUUGCCUUUGAAACUGUAUAGCUAGAGUGUCGGAGGGGAUAGCGGAAUUCCUAAUGUAGAGGUGAAAUUCGUAGAUAUUAGGAGGAACACCGGUGGCGAAGGCGGCUAUCUGGACGACAACUGACGCUGAGGCGCGAAAGCACGGGGAUCAAACAGG